UACUCAUAUGUAGCCUAUGAAUA
Molecule: non-coding RNA, 23 nt
Filed under: Arabidopsis thaliana (thale cress)
Lineage: Eukaryota; Viridiplantae; Streptophyta; Magnoliopsida; Brassicales; Brassicaceae
Source: RNAcentral